AAGGAUCAUUAUCGUAAAACCGAGGUGCGAGGGCUGUCGCUGACCUUUUCGGUCGUGCACGCCCGAGCGCUCUCACACAAUCCAUCUCACCCCUUGUGCACCACCGCGUGGGUCCCUUUUUGGCUUGUCCGGAGGGGGGCUCGCGUUUUCACACAAACUUGAAGUAGUGUAGAAUGUCCUUUUUUUGCGAUAACACGCAAUCAAUACAACUUUCAACAACGGAUCUCUUGGCUCUCGCAUCGAUGAAGAACGCAGCGAAAUGCGAUACGUAAUGUGAAUUGCAGAAUUCAGUGAAUCAUCGAAUCUUUGAACGCACCUUGCGCCCCUUGGCAUUCCGAGGGGCACACCCGUUUGAGUGUCGUGAAAUUCUCAAAACCCUUUCUUUUGUUCAUUUUUGACCGCGGAAAGGAUUUUGGACUUGGAGGCCUUUUUGCUGGUUUCACCUUGAAGCGAGCUCCUCCCAAAUUUAUUAGUGGGGUCUGCAUUGUCGGUCCUUGGCGUGAUAAGUUGUUUCUACGUCUCGGAUUUUUGGCGCUGUACACCUGCUUCUAACCGUCUCAUUGACAACGAUGGUGUUCCGGUCGCCGCCGAUUUUUCGGUGGCAGGCUUGACCCACGAAACAAACCUUGA
RNAcentral lists this ribosomal RNA (630 nucleotides) under Russula aff. betularum r-09003. RNAcentral describes it as "eukaryotic LSU rRNA". The stretch from base 208 to 361 matches the Rfam family "5.8S ribosomal RNA". Lineage: Eukaryota; Fungi; Basidiomycota; Agaricomycetes; Russulales; Russulaceae. The record is from RNAcentral.